Molecule: long non-coding RNA, 750 nt
Filed under: Equus asinus (donkey)
Lineage: Eukaryota; Metazoa; Chordata; Mammalia; Perissodactyla; Equidae
Description: lncRNA (ENSEASG00005024993.1)
Source: RNAcentral
UUCCUGCACACUUUGCAACUUUGUAGAACAAAAUGCUGAUGAGAAUGAUAAAUCUCCGAGCUUUGCGUGCUCUUGCUUUUUGAUUGGUUAGGAUGUAGUUUUGAAAUCACCUCCAAUUUUGAGCUUUGACUUUGGACUAGUAAAGGUAGUAAAAACAAUAUAAAGAAAGGGAAAUAAACUUCAAAACUGCUUUUUUUUUUCCCGUGCGAGAAGUUCACAAUAAAUUGUGGCGAUGCUUCUCAAAUAAAAUUAGAUUCCGCUGCUGCCUGCUGCUUCCCUCCACGUUUCAUCUCUUUUCUCUUAAUCGCCGGAGCCUCUCCUGGGACACUAGGUAAUCUGAGGGAAGAAUGGCACAUUCAGGCUCCUGGAGUUCUACAGGGGGCUGAGAAAGGACUAUCAGCAGGGAAUUGAGCUGCCUGAUAUUACGUGGUGGAUGAAUGGUGAGGACUUACCUCCUGAUCCUGAAUGUUCAUUUGGAAAGCGAUAGACUCUCAAAAUCAGAAGGGAUCUUGGAAGUCGUCUAUCGAUCAUUCAGGAUAAGAAUUCCCACAGCAGUGUACAUAAUUGAAUACUUCCAAUGACAUGGAAGUCCUUCACCGUGUAAAGCAGCCCCUUCUGUUGUUGGCAAUUCUGAUACUUCUAUUUUAUCCUGAGCCACCUUCUGCCUCCAUGUCCCUUCUACCAACUGUUACUUGUUCUGUCCUCUAGAACCAUAAAGAAUAAAAGAACAGAAUAGGUGCUCAAUAAAUA